Molecule: RNA transcript, 2202 nt
Organism: Hemiscyllium ocellatum (epaulette shark)
Lineage: Eukaryota; Metazoa; Chordata; Chondrichthyes; Orectolobiformes; Hemiscylliidae
Gene name: zinc finger protein 229-like
Exons: 4
Source: RefSeq, a predicted model, not a curated record
GCAGCACGUGAUCGUUAACGCCGCCGGCGGAGAGUCACGUGACCGGUGUCCGCUUCAUUGCGAGAGGUACGCAGCGGAAAGCAUGUUAUUUGAGAAUAUCUUGAACGUUGGGAUCUCAAAGCAAGUUCUGACUGUCAGGGGGAUCUGAAUAUCAUUGGCAUUUACUGGUGGAAGGAUAAAAGGUUGACUUGCAUUUAGAGACUUCAAAUGGAAACACGUCCAGAUCUAAACAGUCAUUCCACUUCUCAUAACCUAAUUAGCGCAGAAUUUUCAGCAUUAGAGGAAGAAGCAACAUUCACACAGGGGAGAAACACAUGCGGUGUGUGGAUGAUUCAGUGAACAGUCAUUUGAAAUGUCCAAACGCCAGCGCAGACAAAGUGGGAAGAGACUGUGGAAAUGUCAGGAUUGUGGGAAGGGAUUUCUUUGUCCAUCCAAGCUUGAACUUCACCAACGCAGUCACACUGGGGAGAAGCCAUUCACUUGCUCCGACUGUGGGAAGGGCUUCAGUCGGUCGUCACGCCUGCGGAUCCACCAGCGGGUGCACACUGGAGAGAGACCAUUCACCUGCCCGAUGUGCGGGAAACCAUUCGCUGAGUCAUCCAGCCUUCUGAAACACCAGCGAAUUCACACUGGAGAGAGACCGUUCACCUGCUCGGAUUGUGGGAAGGGAUUUGCCCUAUCGUCCAACCUGCGGAUCCACCAGAGACACCACACAGGGGACAGGCCGUUCACUUGCUCCACGUGUGAGAUGGGAUUCUGUCAGUUAUCAAGCCUGCAGAUACACCAGCGAGUUCACACUGGCGAGAGACCAUUCACUUGCUCCCUGUGUGGGAAAGGAUUCAGUCAGUCAUGCAACCUGCUGACACACCAGCGAGGGCACAGUGGGGAGAGGCCAUUCACCUGUUCUGAAUGUGGAAAAGGAUUCAUUCGCUCGUCUGAACUACUGAAACACCAGCGCAUUCAUACCGGAGAGAAACCAUUCACAUGCUCUGAUUGUGGGAAGGGAUUUACCCAGUCGUCCAACCUGCAGAGACACCAGCGCGUUCACACUGGGGAGAGACCAUUCACCUGCUCAGUGUGCGGGAAACCAUUCGCCGACUCAUCCACCCUUCUGAAACACCAGCGAAUUCACACUGGAGAGAGACCGUUCACCUGCUCGGAUUGUGGGAAGGGAUUUGUCCUGUCGUCCAACCUGCGGAUCCACCAGCGAGUUCACACUGGGGAGAGACCGUUCACUUGCUCCACGUGUGGGAUGGGAUUCGGUCAGUUAUCCAGCCUGAAGAUACACCAGCGAGUUCACACUGGUGAGAGACCAUUCACUUGCUCCCUGUGUGGGAAAGGAUUCAGUCAGUCAUGCAACCUGCUGACACACCAGCGAGGGCACAGUGGGGAGAGGCCAUUCACCUGUUCUGAAUGUGGAAAAGGAUUCAUUCGCUCGUCUGAACUACUGGAACACCAGCGCAUUCACACCGGAGAGAAACCAUUCACAUGCUCCAAUUGUGGGAAGGGAUUUACCCAGUCGUCCCACCUGCGGAGACACCAGCGUGUUCACACCCGGGAGAAAGAGUCACUUGGUCAAGCUACCUGCUGAUACACCAGCCUAUUCAAUCAAUGGAGAGACAGUUCACUUCUGUAUUUGGGAAAUGAUUUAAGCUGUUAACACACCAGCAAAAUGACACUAGGUUAAACUGAGAGGACUAAACCCUUACCAUCACACAUAUAUAUAUGAAAUCCCAGCAUUAAGCAAGGUCCCGAACAGCUUCUACAAUCACAAGAGCAUUUGUCAGUUUCCGGGAACUCAGUGUCACGAUAGAAAUACAGAAGCACCGCCUUGCAUGUGCGUUUACUUUACUGGCCAUUUUCUACAUGAAUAGCCCAGUAAAGUGAUGGGAAUAAAGCACUUAUCUUUGCAAAGGGCUGUGUAACUAACCCAUAUGUUUAAAAAAAAAUCCAGUCCUGAUACUUAAGGUGCUUGUGUUUCUUUGCUUUUGCCAGCAUUUUCACAUGUUCUUCAGUACAGGUAUCCAAAUUCACUUGCCUCUUUGAUGUAACGUUUUUGCGAUCGAAUAAUUGAUUAUUGGAUAAGAGGUUCCUCUGUAAUAUGUUCAGACUACAGUAAUUGAACUGUAAUUGGGUAACUGAAAUCGCAGAUAACAAUUCCAUGGAUAUGGGGGUGAACCUGCAAUUAAAUUUCUUUCCACA